Molecule: ribosomal RNA, 463 nt
Filed under: uncultured bacterium
Lineage: Bacteria
Description: bacterial SSU rRNA
Rfam family: Bacterial small subunit ribosomal RNA
Source: RNAcentral
CCUANGGGGGGCAGCAGUCUAGAGGCUUCGGCAAUGGGGGCAACCCUGACCGAGCGACGCCGCGUGUGGGAUUGAAGGCGUUUUCGUUGUAAACCACUGUGUAGGGGGAAGAAUGCCCGGAUGGCGAAUCCGGGAGGGACGGUACCCCUAUAGAAAGCCCCGGCUAACUCCGUGCCAGCAGCCGCAGUAAUACGGGGGGGGCAAGCGUUGUUCGGAUUUACUGGGCGUAAAGGGAGCGUAGGCGGUUGAUCAAGUCCGGUGUGAAAGCUUUACCACUCAACGGAAAGAGGUCACUGGAAACUGGUCAGCUAGAGUAGGGUAGAGGCAAGCGGAAUUCCUGGUGUAGCGGUGGAAUGUUUAGAUAUCAGGAAGAACACCUGUGGCGAAGGCGGCUUGCUGGGCCCUCACUGACGCUGAGGCUCGAAAGCGUGGGGAGCAAACGGGAUUAGAUACCCUUNUANUC